Molecule: ribosomal RNA, 254 nt
Filed under: uncultured bacterium
Lineage: Bacteria
Description: partial 16S ribosomal RNA
Rfam family: Bacterial small subunit ribosomal RNA
Source: RNAcentral
UACGUAGGGGGCAAGCGUUGUCCGGAAUCAUUGGGCGUAAAGCGCACGUAGGCGGCUUUUUAAGUCAGGGGUGAAAUCCCGGGGCUCAACCCCGGAACUGCCCUUGAAACUGGAGAGCUAGAAUCUUGGAGAGGCGAGUGGAAUUCCGAGUGUAGAGGUGAAAUUCGUAGAUAUUCGGAAGAACACCAGUGGCGAAGGCGACUCGCUGGACAAGUAUUGACGCUGAGGUGACGAAAGCGUGGGGAGCAAACAGG